GUGCUUGGGAGCUCGGGGUUAAUAGAUACAAAUUAUUGCCUUUGGAAUGGAUUAGCAAUGAGAUCCUGCUGUGUAGCACUGGGAGCCAUGUCUAGUCACUCACGAGGGAGCAUGAGAACGUGCGAAAAUAGGAUGUGUACAUGUAUGUGUAACUGGGUCACCAUGCUGCACAGUAGGAAACAAAUGUAGUGGGAAAUAACUAUUUAAAAAAAUGUUCGACUGUUUUACCUUCUGUGGGGGAAGGUAACUAAUCAGAACAGUUUGUAAUUAGGAGUUCCUGUCAUGGUUCAGUGGUUAACAAAUCUGACUAGGAACCAUGAGGUUGUGGGUUUGAUCCCUGGCCUUGCUCAGUGGGUUAACGAUCCGGCGUUGCCGUGAGCUGUGGUGUAGGUCGAAGAUGCGGCUUGAAUUCUGCAUUGCUGUGGCUGUGGUGUAGGCCGCAGCAAGAGCUCCAAUUAGAUCUCUAGCCUGGAACCUCCAUAUGCCGAGGGUGCAGCCCUAGAAAAGAUGGAAAGACAGGAAAAAAAAAGAAAAAAGAAAGCAAGCAAAGGAAGAGAUUGGAUUUGAGAGGAUGUGAGCAAAGCACGUAGAUAGGGCUGGAAGGGAGGGCAGUACAGACGCCGAGUUUGGUGCCUUUAGGAAUGGGUGCUGUAGACUGUAGAACAGUCUGGACGUGUCAUUAGUGUUUUGGAAACUGAGAAACAGGUUAAUGUAGAGUCAUUACCUCGGCAGAAUUUGGAAGCUGAACCAGAGGGAGAGGUGGUGCUGCUGGUGAGAAGCGGGAGUAGAGGUACCAGCAGUCUCUAGAGGCCUAGGGGUGGCAGGUGGGGCUCGCUGGCAGGGCCGACUGGACGUCUGUAGGAAGUCCUCUAGGGUCUGGCUUCACUUCCCUGUCCCAGCAGUGGCACAGUGUACGCUUUGGUAAAUAAAGUUUGAACCAAAGGGAUGCCAGGUUUGCGGAGCGGGGAGGGUGGUAGGUACACAGGUGAGGUGAAAGUUUGCGUAUUAAGUGAGAACCUCAGAACAUCCCAGAAUUCUUGCAUCCCAGCAGCAGAUUCGAAGAUUCUUUUUUGAGAAAGAACUGGCUCAGAUGUAAAGGUCUGCAGCCUCUGACAGUUGCCACACUGUACUCUCGUCAUUGAUGGCAUUGCUGUGCCUUAAACAACUACACCCGUUUUGUUCUCUCUCCCAGUUUCUGAUGGCCAGGAUUUAGGAAGGGCGGGGCGGUAGUUUUGGCUUGGAUUUCCCUGUAGGUUGUGGUCGUGUGGUGGCUGCAGACAGAACAGCAGGGGUGCCGAAGCAGCUUGGGCUGGCCGGUCGUCUCCCCUCCUGCGGUCCCUCGGGACAGGCGGAUAGCAAGAGAACCGGGUGUGAGUCUGUCGCCUCUAUGACUCAGCCUCAGGGGCCAGAGCAGCAUCUCCGCCGUCGUCGCAAGUCUGUUCCGCUUCGGGGGGAGGCCACGUAGGUUCCGUCUCUCUUUCUUCUUCUUGUCUGGGCCCACAGCAUGAGGAGGUUCCCAGGACAGAGAUCAAAACCACACGACCGCAGCAACUGGAGGUGCUGCAGUGCCAGUGCCAGUGCCGGGUCCUAACCUGCUGCACCGCUGGGGAACUCCCAGCUUCCGUCUUCUGGUAGCAGUUGAAUGAAGCACGCGAAGGAUGGCGUUGUAGCUGUCAUUGGAGGAGCUGGUUUAUCACAGUUUACCCUUGGUUGUAAGGCAUCUCUCCCACGGGCAAGUUACAGCCACACCCUCUCCCCACACCCGCAGUCUCCUCCUCGUGGCAUUGGCUUCCAUUCAGGAUCUCGUCACCCGUGGCCAGAUGAACUUCCUCAGGUGUGCAUCUGGAUCUGGACACACGUGAACCGAAGAGACGAGUAAUCUGCCAUUACCUCCAACUUAAAAUCGGUGUCAGGCUGUGGCGAAUUGCUGCAGACACAGCUGUUCCGAAAGGGGGACGCAGGCACAGCAGCCACUGGGUCCAGAGCUUUCUGAGAUCCAGCCAGGCACAAGCUGCGAGUCCUCGAUGAGGACUCAGUUCUCUUACCUGGAAGUGAUUCUCCAGGGCUCUUGGCUCUGCUCUGAGGGUUCUGGGUUUGCCUCUUGAGUUAUCCUUUUCCUUAAGUAAUGUCUGUUUAAAAAAAAAUUGUGUUAAGGAAGUUCCCUUUUGGUGCAGAGGGUUAAGGAUCCAAUGCUGCUGUAGCUGUGGUGCGCAGGUUGUUGGUGCAAGUUCUAUCCCUGGCCCCGGAACUUUCUCGUGCUGUGGGUGUGACCCCCUAAAAAUUGUGUUAAAAUAUACAACAUAGGAGUUCCCAUCGUGGCGCAGUGGUUAACGAAUCCGACUAGGAACCAUGAGGUUGCGGGUUCGGUCCCUGCCCUUGCUCAGUGGGUUGACGAUC
Molecule: long non-coding RNA, 2397 nt
Filed under: Sus scrofa (pig)
Lineage: Eukaryota; Metazoa; Chordata; Mammalia; Artiodactyla; Suidae
Description: lncRNA (ENSSSCG00050071090.1)
Source: RNAcentral